This 194-nucleotide long non-coding RNA is filed under the name Lonchura striata (white-rumped munia). Its description in RNAcentral is "domestica (Bengalese finch) lncRNA (ENSLSDG00000013640.1)". The record is from RNAcentral. Lineage: Eukaryota; Metazoa; Chordata; Aves; Passeriformes; Estrildidae.
GGCCAGCCUCGUUCCCACCCUGCAGCGAACAUAUAAAGCUGGCGCGCGCGCGCCCCGCCCCCUUUUUCCCCGCGGAGCGCCUGGUGAGGCGGUACACGGUGUGAUGGAGAGGAGGUUUUCAACGGUGUCAAGUACAUUGCACAUUAAGGUAACAGCUCUGGAAUUUUUAAUGUUGCUCUAGAAGUAACUGCAUU